AGCAGUAGCCGCGGGAAUACGGAGGGGGCUAGCGUUGUUCGGAAUUACUGGGCGUAAAGCGCACGUAGGCGGCUUGGUAAGUUAGAGGUGAAAGCCCAGGGCUCAACCCUGGAAUUGCCUUUAAGACUGCCGAGCUAGUAGGUGAGAGAGGUAAGUGGAAUUCCGAGUGUAGAGGUGAAAUUCGUAGAUAUUCGGAAGAACACCAGUGGCGAAGGCGGCUUACUGGCUCAUUCUAGACGCUGAGGUGCGAAAGCGUGGGGAGCAAACAGGAUUAGAUACCCCAGUAGUCCCUGUCUCUUAUAC
Molecule: ribosomal RNA, 303 nt
Filed under: uncultured bacterium
Lineage: Bacteria
Description: partial 16S ribosomal RNA
Rfam family: Bacterial small subunit ribosomal RNA
Source: RNAcentral